This 221-nucleotide non-coding RNA is filed under the name Nicotiana sylvestris (wood tobacco). Its description in RNAcentral is "Bacterial large subunit ribosomal RNA". It matches the Rfam family "Bacterial large subunit ribosomal RNA", at positions 629 to 831 of the family's 2925-position model. Lineage: Eukaryota; Viridiplantae; Streptophyta; Magnoliopsida; Solanales; Solanaceae. The record is from Rfam by way of RNAcentral.
CAUUGAGAGUGGUUAAGAUAAAGGAACUCACCGAAGUCGUAGCGAAAGCGAGUCUUCAUAGGAUAAUUGUCACUGCUUAUGAAUCCGAACUUGGGUGAUCUAAUCAUGACCAGGAUAAAACUUGGGUGAAACUAAGUGGAGGUCUGAACCGAUUGAUGUUGAAGAAUCAGCGGAUAGAGCUUUACUUAGUUCAACAUGUGCUUUGGCCCUCUAUUUUUAGA